AGAGAGAGACAUGCGCGCAUAUCAAUAAGCGGAGGAAAAGAAACUAACAAGGAUUCCCUUAGUAACGGCGAGUGAAGCGGGAAGAGCUCAAAUUUGAAAUCUUCAAGGUUUUACCUUGACGAAUUGUAGUUUAAAGAAGUGUUUUCUGCUGAAGUUUUGGUAAAAGUUCUUUGGAAUAGGACAUCAUAGAGGGUGAGAAUCCCGUAUUUGACCAUUAUUUCAGCUUUGUGAUACACUUUCAAAGAGUCGGAUUGUUUGGGAAUGCAGUCCAAAAUGGGUGGUAAAUUUCAUCUAAAGCUAAAUAUUGGCGAGAGACCGAUAGCGAACAAGUACCGUGAGGGAAAGAUGAAAAGAACUUUGAAAAGAGAGUUAAACAGUACGUGAAAUUGUCAAAAGGGAAGCGUUUGACACCAGUGUUGUUUUCUCGAAAAUCAAUUAAAAAUGGCUCGAUUUUGUAUUGUUGAGACCUUAAAAGCUCACUGUACAUUUUUCGUGUCUUUUUUAAUGCACUUUUCGUUUAACAAGUCAACAUCAGUUUCUUUUGUUGUAAAAGGGUCAUUGGAAGGUGGCUUUCUUUUCGGAGAAAGUGUUUAUAGCCUUUGGCCUCUGCAAUCGGAGAGACUGAGGUCUGCAGCGUAGACUCUUCGGGGUUAGAUACAUUUGUGCUAAGUUAUAGCUUUUUAUAGACAACUUGUUGACUAUAAUUAGUCUUGUAGCUUACUCGCUUAUGCUAUUUUACCUACGCUUAGGAUGUUGAAGAUGUAGCACAUCAU
This 773-nucleotide ribosomal RNA is filed under the name uncultured Neocallimastigales. Its description in RNAcentral is "partial large subunit ribosomal RNA". It matches the Rfam family "Eukaryotic large subunit ribosomal RNA", at positions 23 to 634 of the family's 3401-position model. The record is from RNAcentral. Lineage: Eukaryota; Fungi; Neocallimastigomycota; Neocallimastigomycetes; Neocallimastigales.